GUAGGUGGCAAGCGUUGUCCGGAAUUAUUGGGCGUAAAGCGCGCGCAGGCGGGUCCUUUAAGUCUGAUGUGAAAGCCCACGGGCUCAACCGUGGAGGGUCAUUGGAAACUGGGGGACUUGAGUACAGAAGAGGAAAGCGGAAUUCCAAGUGUAGCGGUGAAAUGCGUAGAGAUUUGGAGGAACACCAGUGGCGAAGGCGGCUUUCUGGUCUGUAACUGACGCUGAGGCGCGAAAGCGUGGGGAGCAAACAGGAUUAGAUACCCUGGUAGUCCACGCCGUAAACGAUGAGUGCUAGGUGUUAGGGGGUUUCCUCCCCUUAGUGCUGCAGCUAACGCAUUAAGCACUCCGCCUGGGGAGUACGGCCGCAAAGGCUG
RNAcentral lists this ribosomal RNA (374 nucleotides) under uncultured organism. RNAcentral's name for it is "partial 16S ribosomal RNA". It matches the Rfam family "Bacterial small subunit ribosomal RNA", at positions 527 to 896 of the family's 1533-position model. The record is from RNAcentral.